Molecule: long non-coding RNA, 1318 nt
Organism: Mesocricetus auratus (golden hamster)
Lineage: Eukaryota; Metazoa; Chordata; Mammalia; Rodentia; Cricetidae
Exons: 5
Source: RefSeq, a predicted model, not a curated record
UGUAACCGCCAUUGGGGUAGGAAGCCUGGAACUAUUCUCCGCGUUUUCUGCCCUCUAGUGGCCAGAAGCCUAAACGCACACCGUGGAAGCUGGGCAGCGGAAUCAAGGGCAGAGAAAAAGCAUCUUUCUGAGGUCAGCCAUAAUUAUUGUUCGCUUGUAUCAGUUAGAGAUCAACGCCACAAACAUUUAUCAAGAAACUUGCAUUUCCCGGUGUGUAAACAUGGAACAGACACAGAUGCCUGAAGUUAUGAGUUAAAAACGAGAGAUCAGUAACUGGGUAGUGGAUGUGAAGCUCAUUCUAUAUUGGAGAUUUGCUUGAAGUGAUUGGCAAAAUAUUGAGGGAUGACAAAGGCACCCGUCCUGUGAGUAGUUGGAAUGUCUUGCUUAUGCUGGCUAUGUCUUUGAUCAUUAUCUUCCACACAUUGGCAUUUGGAAAAGGAGAAGAUCACUGAAAGAUACAGUUGUGGCGUUGAGCAGCACCAAGGAUUCGUUAAAGAGCAGGAUACGAUAAUGCUCCCAAUCUCCAGCAGGGGGCGUCCAGUUCACUGCGAAGGACUUCAUCCAAAUCUCAUUGUAUGAAACCAGAUUAAUCACCUUUUCUGGAACUAAAUGAAGAUAUGCCAAGAAAGUGUUGAAAACAAAAAAAAAAAAUAAGAACAUUCGUUUGCCUUUUUGGGAAGCAAUAUAUAAAAAACACAUUGUCUGCUGUUGUGCAUAUUUGUAUCCCCUCCAGAUAUCUGUGUACCUCAGGUUCUACUGCAAGGCCCUUUCCACAAGUGUCUACUGUUCUUCUAAAGGGGAAUGUAGUUCUUGGUCCCUUUUGUACAUACAAUUCUUACUUGAGACCUCUAAUGGCACUGAGACAGAACUCAAAUUGAACCACCUGGUUUAAAGCCAAGCUCCAGAACUUUCUGGGUAGAUGACCAUGAAUGAGUUAUUCAGUCAUUCCAGUUUGUCUGUACAAUGUCUAUACUAACAUCAUAGCUCCUAGUUUACAUUUUUCUUGCAAUAAAUAAAUGAAAUAGGUGUGAAGUGUUUAUGUGAGGUCUGACUUGUGAAAUUAUUAAUGUCAUUAGCAUUUCUAAAGGGUUCUAUUCUUGGUGUGUGUGUGUUUGGUUAAAAUGCAACAUCUAUUAAGCAAAGGUUGGUUUAAAAAACUUUAUUGAACUACAUAAACGACCCUAGAAUGAUCCUAUUUUAAUCUAGGGGAAUACAAAACAAGCUACCAAGUGGGUUUAUUCACAGGGUGUACUUCUCAGAACCUUGUCUUAAAGUCAAUAGUACAUCACAACCACCUUAAGAGUCUCUAAGGUUCAUA